RNA transcript from Pogonomyrmex barbatus (red harvester ant), 258 nucleotides. RefSeq lists it as uncharacterized. The record is from RefSeq and is a predicted model, not a curated record. Lineage: Eukaryota; Metazoa; Arthropoda; Insecta; Hymenoptera; Formicidae.
CAGAUUUAUUAGGAGAAAAACAUAGUAUUUAACCACUUGCUAUAUUAGGAAGAAACGGUUUGGUACUUAGAGGAUUUAACUAGAUUUCAAUAAGGAAAAUAAUGCUGUAAUGAAUAACGUAAUUGAUGACAAUGAAAGACUUGAAAUGAAGACUUUGAAAACAAUUUUGGUCCAUCAAAUAUUCUUGCGCCUGUUGAAAAUGUACAAACUGUAAAAACAAAUAAACUACAAAAUUAAUAAAAAUAGAAUAUGACAAAC